GAUGAACGCUGGCGGCGUGCCUAAUACAUGCAAGUCGAGCGAACAGACGAGGAGCUUGCUCCUCUGACGUUAGCGGCGGACGGGUGAGUAACACGUGGAUAACCUACCUAUAAGACUGGGAUAACUUCGGGAACCCGGAGCUAAUACCGGAUAAUAUAUUGAACCGCAUGGUUCAAUAGUGAAAGACGGUUUUGCUGUCACUUAUAGAUGGAUCCGCGCCGCAUUAGCUAGUUGGUAAGGUAACGGCUUACCAAGGCGACGAUGCGUAGCCGACCUGAGAGGGUGAUCGGCCACACUGGAACUGAGACACGGUCCAGACUCCUACGGGAGGCAGCAGUAGGGAAUCUUCCGCAAUGGGCGAAAGCCUGACGGAGCAACGCCGCGUGAGUGAUGAAGGUCUUCGGAUCGUAAAACUCUGUUAUUAGGGAAGAACAAAUGUGUAAGUAACUAUGCACGUCUUGACGGUACCUAAUCAGAAAGCCACGGCUAACUACGUG
This 497-nucleotide ribosomal RNA is filed under the name uncultured bacterium. Its description in RNAcentral is "partial 16S ribosomal RNA". It matches the Rfam family "Bacterial small subunit ribosomal RNA", at positions 28 to 507 of the family's 1533-position model. The record is from RNAcentral.